CUUAUCAUACACAUAGAUUAAAAUUGAUCAUACAACUAUAAGUUAAUUUUAGAUCAAUUGCACCCUAAAGCCAUAGUAUAAUUGCUCUAGCUUAAUUUUUCACUACUUUACUUGUAAUUGCCUAGAGCUUAAGUAAAUAACAUCUUAUCAUUCCGCUGCAUUCAAUUCAAAGUAAAAAUUAGGGAACAUAAUUUUUAGAAAACCCAAUUCACCCCCCCUCUUGGGUUGUCACCUUGGGCAACAAGUGGUAUCAGAGCAGGUGCUCUUCUAUUAAUUAUAGUCUUAACCGACAAGAGCUAAAAAUUAUGACAAUCCCACAUAACAUAUUAUUUGCCGAGGGACUUUCCAUAAACAGACCUCCACUGUUUGAUGGAACUUACUAUAUUCAAUGGAAAGCUAGAAUGAAAAUUUUGUUCAAUCACAAAACUAUAAAAUA
Molecule: long non-coding RNA, 436 nt
Filed under: Phoenix dactylifera (date palm)
Lineage: Eukaryota; Viridiplantae; Streptophyta; Magnoliopsida; Arecales; Arecaceae
Description: long non-coding RNA (PDAC_LNC019086)
Source: RNAcentral